This 406-nucleotide ribosomal RNA is filed under the name uncultured bacterium. RNAcentral's name for it is "partial 16S ribosomal RNA". It matches the Rfam family "Bacterial small subunit ribosomal RNA", at positions 30 to 526 of the family's 1533-position model. The record is from RNAcentral.
AUUGAACGCUGGCGGCAGGCCUAACACAUGCAAGUCGAACGAGUGGGGGAUGUGAGAGUAAUGUCUGGGAACCUGCCUGAUGGAUGGGGAUACCUCCUGGAAACGGUAGCUAAUACCGCAUACCAUCAGAUGUGCCCAGAUGGGAUUAGCUAGUUGGUGGGGUAAAGGCUCACCAAGGAGACGAUCCCUAGCUGGUCUGAGAGGAUGACCGGCCACACUGGAACUGAGACACGGUCCAGACUCCUACGGGAGGCAGCAGUGGGGAAUAUUGCACAAUGGGCGAAAGCCUGAUGGAGCCAUGCCGCGUGUGUGAAGAAGGCCUUCGGGUUGUAAAGCACUUUCAGCAGGGAGGCGGUACCCGCAGAAGAAGCACCGGCUAACUACGUGCCAGCAGCCGCGGUAAUAC